UACGUUUAACCUCCAAAAUCGAAAUUUCGUCGGUUUGAAAGGCCAGAAUACCCACAUGCCGUUUAUCUUCCGUCUUUUUGGUUGUCCGCGCAAAAAGUACCUGACUUUUAUACCCUCGCCGAAAUGACCGGUGGAGUAAAUUAAAUCGGUUUUUAACAGCAAAAAUAGUGAGAACGAAUAUCCAAAUCUAAUCUGCUCAGCUGAUGUGUUUAGGAAAUAUUACGUUUCAAAAAUACCUACAGGUAGGAAAUGCAGCUUAAAAAGUGUCAGGCAAAUAAUUCAUAAACCAAUGAAGUACCAACGGUGUACACCUAAAGAUGGCAUCCUGCCUGAUUAAAGAACUAAGAACCAGGAAGUCAUACUUGAAAGAGGGUAAAACGCCAGUACACCUAUAUUUCUCUUUACGUUCCACGCCUACGUAAAUGUUACACGUACACGUCAAGAAGAUGUUUCUUCCUUCCUAUCAGAAGUUAAGCACGACCCUGCUUCUACGCACGGCAUACGCACGUGCGUUGUGCUACACGUGUGCACGAUGCGGUAUGAUAUAUAGGUAUACCUCUGAGGACUGAUUCAAGACGGUUUACAAGCACAGAAAGCACGGUUAAUGCUCCUAUUUACUAUCUCUCUGGCCGCUUUCUAAAUGCAUCUAAUACGCAACACGUUGCUCUUGCUUGUCUGUACUUACAUUUUGGUCCAAUAAUUUUGUCGAAGUCCCUACAAUUUUUGAUUGUAACAGAGCUACACCUUCACCUUCCUCCAGCGAGGCCUCGAUGGACUUGCAAACUCCUUAAGGAAAAUAAAUUGUGCCUUUAAACGAGAAAGCUGUCACGUGACUGGUCAAAGGUUAUGCGUGACUUGGAAGCUGAAGCUUUUUUUUUCAUUCGUGAAAGCUCGCUAUACGUUACUACAUUUGGAUCAAGUGACGCGAAGCCGACGCGUUAACCACUCGUCACGGGCUUACAGUGCGUAAAAAUAUUACAAAAGAUUGGCAGACUUUCACACAAGACCGAUCUAGCGGCGUUCAUAAAUAGAUCGCGUGCCGUGGAAGCUUCCGCGAGUGUUUCACUCUUGCGAUGAAAGCCGAAAGUCUUGUCUAGCCUGGGCGGAGAGGGGGAUGGACCCCUACAGAGCAUAAUUGCAAGAUGGCCGCCGCCAGUAGGCCAUGAGCUUGCGACGAAUUUAUGAAAUUUCUAUGCUCAUGGCUCACCCAAUAAUUUUUGGCCACUAUCAGCAACUCAUUAUGAGUUACAGAAAUAGACGCUGUUAUUUCAUCGUUUAUUUCGACUACAGUUCAAAGCUUGUGGAUAUUUUUACACGAGCCAUGAGGUGUUAUAUAAAAGUCAGGCAAAAACUUGGCAUUAUUAAUGUCCACGGAAUUAUCAGGAGAUCGAUGUAUGUAAAUUGACGUGAAGUAUGACAGCCACGCGUGAAAAUACGAACGCCGUCAUCUUGAUUCUAGAUAAAAAACGUUAAAAGAGCAAGUUCGAAAUGAUAAAUAAUCACGUAAUGGCAGUGUUUAUGAGUCACAAUGAAAAUUGAUUGAAAAAUGAAAUUAAACAAUCUGUAUGUCCAUUGGUUUGCAGAUAAUUGUAGUAAAACGUCAACACCUUUUGAGUAACCAUCAACUCUAAAACAUACAACAUGCGCCAUUUCGACACUUCAAACAUCCCAGGCAUUCAAACUGAUUCUCGUACAUCCACUACGAUGAGUAUAAUCAAAUAUUCUGUUAACACACGUCAAAAAGAUAUGAUAAUCAUGAAUCAUAUAGUGACACUUUUUGAAUAACCAGAAAGAAUCAAAAGUUGUCAAUCCUUUCACAAGAAAAGCUAUAAAACUUAAAGAUAUUGCCUGCUAGAAGUGCCUGAAACAAACACAAAUACCUGCUACCUGUUGGAAAAUAAAGAAAAGUUGUCGUAGACAAUUAUUCUUAUUUUAUGGAUAAUCAUUAUGCAGCAUCUAACUAUCAUCAAAGGCAAUGAGACUAACGAAUCUCCAAGUGUAGUAGUAACUAUGGAUGCGCCAAGACCAAAAGCUAUUAAAGUGCUAAACAGUUGCCGGCUGGCAGAUGCGCAUACGAGCGGUUAUAGCAUGCCGCGUGUCCCUAUAUAUUUUUAGUCAGCAGGGAUGAUAAUACGAAAUUAGAACGGCACGGCCUUUGUAAGAAGAAGCGUCAUUAGUUGUCCGUGCUGAGAGCACGUUGUGAUCCGUCGCUGUCCCUGGGAGGCAUUAUUGUUGCCAACGUCGAGAAUAGAUGGAAGACGGGCUUCGUUCGUCUUCGGUAUUCCCAGUUUAUUUGCACGGGUUUUCACCAGUGACGUCACUGGAGAACAACUGUCGUGUCAAAGCGAGGCCAAAGGUAACGUUUGUGAAGUAGGAGUCAAAGAGUGGUUCACAAACGAGUCCAGAGAGAAACAUCGAGAGACAAAGAUGAUAGACAAAGACACGAAGCAUGCGGUUGACGAGUGAAAACUGGUAUUUGGAUCUUGGAUAGGUUUGAUAACAAUAACCAAGUCGUGGGAAACUGGUUGAGAGAUCACUUAAAUUUUCCAGCAUAACGUCUCGGGACAUUUGGCCCGUUUCCAGCUUGUAGCAGUUGAAUCUUUGCAGCGUGCUGAUGACUCUGGCAAGUAGAAGAAAAAAAGGGAGAAAAGUCAAAAAGAAUAUCCACCAUGAAAGCACUAACGAUGGUGCCUUUAAAGCACACUAUGCAAGAAAGUAUCCGGAAGCUACAAGCAUAUCGCCACAUCCGUCAGCCAUUCAAAGAGCAAAUGUACCAAGCGUAUACACUAAUGACUCCAGCAAUAAAUCUCACAGUGCUUUGGUUGGCCAUCAGUCGCGCGGCAUCGGUUUCAAACUAAAAGAUAUUCGCCAUGAAUGAAGGAAAGUCAAAUAAAAGGAAGUAAAAAGUUUGAAAAUAAUAAACAGUCGUCAUCAAAGGAAACGAACUAAGGCUCAUGGAGUGAUAUGAGAUCACAUACAUACAUAACACAUAACAUAAUAAACGCAGAGACGUAUGAAACGGUUGAAUAAUUUUUGGCAUACAAUAUGGCGAAUGUAAAAUGUCCAAUCUCAAAUCUUGGAUCUCGCGUAGAGCGGUUAGAGUCGGUCGAAACGGAUUCUCAAUUUUAUUUAUCAUAGACGGGAGGUAAGACCCGGGCCCGGGCAUACCUGAAUCUAUUCUUCAACCAGUCUAACGCUUGGAUUCUCAAGUAAAAAUAAAAGUCUGAUAAUUAAAUGAAAUCCACGAAUAUAUCCAAUGAUCACAAAGUGUUCAGGCAUCGAGUUGAGUUGAUCUAUAAAAACUUAAAACACUGGCACAGCAAGUGUUGCCUCUUAGCCCUCGCCAAGGAAUCAUGUACCUGAAUUUUAUUUGGAUUUUAAAUAAUCUGCAAAUUUAGACCAAUGUGUAUAAGCAGUCCUUGUUAGCUGCAUUAAGAAACUAAUUCGCAAGUAAGCUGAGUAAUUUGCGAUGUGCUUUAGUCUUACAUUAGAGAGCCGAUCUAGCGACCUCACUAAAAAUACUUGGGUCCAAUCAACGGCCAACUGGGCCAGUGAAGUAAUCAUGGCUCAACGUCCCAAAUAUAGUCUAACGUCUGCAUAACGAACUACGAUACUUGGCAUGACAAGAAGAGCCAGCAUAAUAGCGUCUGUCACCACGAAUCCCCAAUGACAUACCAGUUCGAGCAUUAGGGAUGGUUUGCUAUAUUUGGGACGACAUAUCGUCCGAUCCGUGAAGUUUAAUUGGCGGACAAUUAUAAUUUCUAGAGGAUUAUCCUCGUCCUCGUAUUCUUCUUCCUGGUGAAUACCCAGAAUGCAUAACCAGUGAAGUAAACCAAGAGCGAGUACAGUGAGCGAUGCCGACGAUCUCAAUUAACCUUUGGAGGACCGGAAAACCUCGAAGUCCAUAUACGAUACGCGAAUAAGCCACUGGAAAAAAAUAAUCCUAUAAUAAUUUUUAUAAAAUUAUAAGAAAUGACUGGUCCGACCACUGAACGUAAAUUUUGAAUUUAAUAUUCGCCAAAAAUUUUCGUAUGCUUGAAAAUCAUUUGGCAGAAUCGAGGGACAAAGUUUUCGUUCAGAAAAUUCGCAUCAGUCAUGUCGAAACGUUGCGCGAAAAUAGUCGCAAGGAUGCUGCGAGGUCGAAUUUUGUCGUGAUCCGCAACUGAUGACGAGAUAUUUGGCGAAGUAGAUGAUUUUUUAUUGAAUUUUAAUUUAUUCUUUUAAUUCGAUUAUUCUGGCACCCUCGACCCUCGCUUUGAUUCCAUCGUCCUGCUGUUUCUAAGCUAUGCACAAUAUUAGGGAUGUCGAGACUUUGAGGAUCUACAGAUGAAGAAGCAAUAAAUAAAAAAUAUGACGGGCAUCUUAAAGACAGGCGAGAUAGUCCUUUUCCAUUAUUUUUCAUUUUGUCAGGGCGUCGACGUCGCUACUCACAAGUUCUCUAUCUGACGUUCUUAAUUAUGUAAUGGUUGUGUUUUAAUAAGAAACUUCACGUGGAUGGUCCGUGCCAAGGAUAUACCUAUAGCCGUCGAAAAGGUACAGAAAUAGAGACAUUGUUGUAGUUUCUAGUGGGCACUACCUAGAGAAAUCCUCGAAAGCAACGACCUAGAGAAAUAUAGGGCAUAGGUCCGAUCUUAACAAAUAAA
Cephus cinctus (wheat stem sawfly) is the source of this 4643-nucleotide long non-coding RNA. RefSeq lists it as uncharacterized. The transcript is spliced from 6 exons. The record is from RefSeq and is a predicted model, not a curated record. NCBI's taxonomy places the organism in Eukaryota, Metazoa, Arthropoda, Insecta, Hymenoptera, Cephidae.